GUGGGGAAUAUUGGACAAUGGGCGCAAGCCUGAUCCAGCCAUGCCGCGUGAGUGAUGAAGGCCUUAGGGUUGUAAAGCUCUUUCAGUGGGGACGAUAAUGACGGUACCCACAGAAGAAGCCCCGGCUAACUUCGUGCCAGCAGCCGCGGUAAUACGAAGGGGGCUAGCGUUGUUCGGAUUUACUGGGCGUAAAGCGCACGUAGGCGGAUCGUUAAGUCGGGGGUGAAAUCCUGGAGCUCAACUCCAGAACUGCCUUCGAUACUGGCGAUCGUGAGUCCGGAAGAGGUGAGUGGAACUCCUAGUGUAGAGGUGGAAUUCGUAGAUAUUAGGAAGAACACCAGUGGCGAAGGCGGCUCACUGGUCCGGUACUGACGCUGAGGUGCGAAAGCGUGGGGAGCAAACAGGAUUAGAAACCCUAGUAGUCC
Molecule: ribosomal RNA, 425 nt
Filed under: uncultured bacterium
Lineage: Bacteria
Description: partial 16S ribosomal RNA
Rfam family: Bacterial small subunit ribosomal RNA
Source: RNAcentral